Molecule: ribosomal RNA, 1324 nt
Filed under: uncultured organism
Description: 16S ribosomal RNA
Rfam family: Bacterial small subunit ribosomal RNA
Source: RNAcentral
GAGUGGCGAACGGGCGAGGAAUGCGUUUCUAACGUGCCCCAAGGUCGAGGAUAGCUCGGGGAAACCCGGGGUAAUACUCGAUGACCCCCAUGGAUCGCAUGGUUCGUGGGGCAAAGGCUUGCUGCCUUGGGAUCGGGAAACGCCCUAUCAGGUUGUUGGUGAGGUAACGGCUCACCAAGCCUAAGACGGGUAGCGGGUGUGAGAGCAUGACCCGCCGCAUCGGGACUGAGACACUGCCCGGACUCCUACGGGAGGCUGCAGCAACGGAUAUUGGGCAAUGAGCGAAAGCUUGACCCAGCAAUGCCGCGUGCAGGAGGAAGCCCCUCGGGGUGUAAACUGCUGUCAGGGUUUAGGAAGUUCUGACCAAACCCAAAGGAAGGGCCGGCUAACUUCGUGCCAGCAGCCGCGGUAAUACGAAGGGCCCAAGCGUUAAUCGGAAUCACUGGGCUUAAAGGGUGCGCAGGCGGAAUGGUCAGUGUCUUGUGAAAUCCCACGGCUCAACCGUGGAACUGCAGGGCAUACUGCCAUUCUUGAGGCCGGUAGAGGCCGCCGGAACUCUAGGUGUAGCGGUGAAAUGCGUAGAUAUCUAGAGGAACGCCAAAGACGAAGGUAGGCGGCUGGGCCGGUUCUGACGCUCAGGCACGAAAGCGUGGGGGAGCAAACAGGAUUAGAUACCCUGGUAGUCCACGCCGUAAACGUUGUGCACUAGGUGCUGGAGGUUCUGACACCAUCAGCGCCGAAGCGAAAGUGAUUAGUGCACCGCCUGGGGAGUACGGUCGCAAGGCUAAAACUCAAAGGAAUUGACGGGGGCUCACACAAGCGGUGGAGCAUGUGGCUUAAUUCGAGGCAACGCGAAGAACCUUAUCCUGGGCUUGACAUGCAUGGAUUAACGCUGGGAAACCAGCGCCACACUCUUUGAGUGGAACAUGCACAGGUGCUGCAUGGCUGUCGUCAGCUCGUGCUGUGAAGUGUUGGGUUAAGUCCCUUAACGAGCGAAACCCCUGUCGCUAGUUACCAUCAGGUAAUGCUGGGGACUCUAGCGAGACUGCCGGUGUCAAACCGGAGGAAGGCGGGGAUGACGUCAAGUCCUCAUGGCCUUUAUGCCCAGGGCUGCACACGUGCUACAAUGGCGCCGACAGAGCGAAGCAAAACCGCGAGGUAGAGCAAAUCGCAAAAAAGGUGCCCCAGUUCGGAUUGCAGUCUGCAACUCGACUGCAUGAAGCCGGAAUCGCUAGUAAUCGCGUAUCAGCAACGACGCGGUGAAUACGUUCCUGAGCCUUGUACACACCGCCCGUCAAGUCAUGGAAGCCGGGAGUACCCGAAG